AACGCGAAGAACCUUACCAGGCCUUGACAUGCAGAGAACUUUCCAGAGAUGGAUCGGUGCCUUCGGGAACUCUGACACAGGUGCUGCAUGGCUGUCGUCAGCUCGUGUCGUGAGAUGUUGGGUUAAGUCCCGUAACGAGCGCAACCCUUGUCCUUAGUUACCAGCGCGUUAAGGUGGGCACUCUAAGGAGACUGCCGGUGACAAACCGGAGGAAGGUGGGGAUGACGUCAAGUCAUCAUGGCCCUUGCGGCCUGGGCUACACACGUGCUACAAUGGUCGGUACAAAGGGUUGCCAAGCCGCGAGGUGGAGCUAAUCCCAUAAAACCGAUGUAGUCCGGGUCGCAGUCUGCAACUCGACUGCGUGAAGUCGGAAUCGCUAGUAAUCG
Molecule: ribosomal RNA, 386 nt
Filed under: uncultured Pseudomonas sp.
Lineage: Bacteria; Pseudomonadati; Pseudomonadota; Gammaproteobacteria; Pseudomonadales; Pseudomonadaceae
Description: bacterial SSU rRNA
Rfam family: Bacterial small subunit ribosomal RNA
Source: RNAcentral